Molecule: ribosomal RNA, 478 nt
Filed under: uncultured bacterium
Lineage: Bacteria
Description: partial 16S ribosomal RNA
Rfam family: Bacterial small subunit ribosomal RNA
Source: RNAcentral
GAUGAACGCUGGCGGCGUGCUUAACACAUGCAAGUCGAACGGGAAACCUUUUAUUGCAGCUUCGGCAGAUUUAGCUGGUUUCUAGUGGCGGACGGGUGAGUAACGCGUGGGUAACCUGCCUUAUACAGGGGGAUAACAGUCAGAAAUGGCUGCUAAUACCGCAUAAGCGCACAGAGCUGCAUGGCUCAGUGUGCAAAACUCCGGUGGUAUAAGAUGGACCCGCGUUGGAUUAGCUGGUUGGUGGGGUAACGGCCCACCAAGGCGACGAUCCAUAGCCGGCCUGAGAGGGUGAACGGCCACAUUGGGACUGAGACACGGCCCAGACUCCUACGGGAGGCAGCAGUGGGGGAUAUUGCACAAUGGGGGAAACCCUGAUGCAGCGACGCCGCGUGAAGGAAGAAGUAUCUCGGUAUGUAAACUUCUAUCAGCAGGGAAGAUAAUGACGGUACCUGACUAAGAAGCCCCGGCUAACUACGUG